Molecule: long non-coding RNA, 2595 nt
Filed under: Homo sapiens (human)
Lineage: Eukaryota; Metazoa; Chordata; Mammalia; Primates; Hominidae
Description: HSALNT0407155
Source: RNAcentral
CUCUUGCCUGUUGCCGUGUGAGGUGGGGUUUUGCUUCUCCUUUGCCUUUCGCCAUGAUUGUGAAGCCUCCCCAGCCACGUCGAACUGUCACAGUGAACAUUUUUUGAAAUUCAUCAACGUGGAGUAAUUCCCUGUCACAUACUUAAAUAUUCUCCUUCUUCCUUCUACUUAAACACAGAAGCCUGUCACGGUGGGGAGCUUGCGCCCUUCCAAGGCAGCCUCCUGGCAUUUAGAUACAAAUUUCAAAUGGAUCACAUGCACCUAAAUCCCUUCCAAAUGACUGAAAUCACAGGAAAAAAAUUUUUUAAUUAUUUAUGUAUAAUACCACUAGAAAGCCAAACACUAUAAACCAAAAGAUUUGAGGAACUCUUGAAGGAAAAACAGAAGGUGAGAACAAACCCAAGAGGAAACUGAGGAAGGAGACUGGAAAAAUUGGGGAGCAAUAGAUGGAGUGUGCAGGGGUCAUGGGACAAUCUUCCAGGUGGUUAAUUUGAAGACUACAUGUGGAAUAUUCUCUCUCUUUCUCUCCCUCUUUCUCUCCCUUUCCCUACCCUCCCACCUCCGCCCCCGCUCAGCCCCCUCUUCGCCCCCUCUCCUCUCUCCCAUUUUCUCUAAGGGCUUGUGCUUACUCUUUGCCUAAAACUGCCCCCGGGGCCACCAUUCCCCAAGUGACAAAGGCAGCCCCACUCCACUCAACCCCAUAAUCCUCAAAACAAGCUUCUCCAUCAGAGCCAGCAUCCGUAGCCGCAAAAGCAGAAGAUCUCACACAGCAAAAGGAGCACACAGACAAAAACCACAGGACACCUGAAGAAAUCCAUUGCCACGAAAGACAGGCACCAAGCUCAACCAACACAAGGAACAGCUUAUGGAGAGAUAGUUUUGUGUGUUUUUUUUCUUUCCACUCCACCUCAAGGAGCCUGCCACAUCCCAAGUUAGGGGUGAUAAGAGGGCUUUUUAAAAACGUAACUGAUCACACCUGUAAUCCCAGCAUUUUGGGAGGCCAAGAUGGGAGGAUUACUUGAGGCCAGGGGUUUGAAACAGCCUGGGCUUAAUAUAGUGAGACCCCAUCUCAAAAAAAAAAAACUAAUUAAAUGUUGAGAAGGAGACACGAACUCUUUCAGCAUAAUUAAGUUCAAAAUAUACACCAACAGGAAGUUCUCCUUCACAGAAAUGUCUGAUUGCUUUAUAACUAUUUCACCCACAAGUCACGGCAUCACGAUGAACUCUUCCACUGUCGACUUCCACCUUCAGGACCCUAAAGGUUUCUCCCCCUCACCUCUAUCCAAGAGGGAAAGUGGAUGGGCUACAAUGUAACUGACAGUCCAUGACAGAAGAGGAGACAGGAAGAUGAAAGAGGAUAACAGAUAAAAAGACUAAGGAAUAUGGGGAAAGGGACAAAGAUGGGAAGGAAAUGGUUCAAGGAGGUCACUCUCUACUGACUGAAGGACCGGACACAGGUACAUAAGAUGAGUUGAAUGGAUAAGGGCCAACCUUCCAAGAUCUUUAGACUCCAUAUGGCACAGAAGAUGAAGGAAAUAACCAACUUCGUAUGUUUCCUUGGCUGAGGGUGUGGGCAUGCUACACGUUUUACCUCUCUAAUCACCCAGAAUACUUUGCUUUUUCCCAAGUAGAAGACAAAGACAGGAAAAGGUCAUGCAGGGGAUAGUUCUUGACUGUCCUGUCCCUUCUCCAGCAAAGCAAGGGGCAUAGGGCCUGGGUUAUAUUUGGAGUGCUGUAAACCAUCUUUGGGGUUUAAGGUCUGAUAUUCAGAUGGACUUCAGAUUAAAAGUUGCAUGCUGGCUGGGUGUCGUGGCUCACACCUGUAAUCCCAACACUUUGAGAGGCUGAGGCAGGAGGAUCACUUGAGCCCAGGAGUUCGAGACCAGCCUGGGAAACAUGGUGAAACUCCACCUCUGUAAGCAAAAUAAUAAAAAAUUAGCCGGGCAUGGUGGUGCACACCUGUAGUCCCAGCUACUUGGGAGGCUGAGGCAGGCAGAUUGCUUGAACCCAGGAGGUCAAGGCUGUGGUUAGCCGUGAUCUCACCACUGCACUCUAGCCUGGGCGAAACAGUGAGACCCUGCCUUAUUUUAACAAAAAAAAAAAAAAAAAACCUUUCAUGCUAAACCUGAACCAGAAAACAUUUUCACCAUGUUUCACCAACAAUGAUGUCAAAAAAUAGGAGCUGCCCAGCUCCAAGCCAUGAUAAUUCUGACAUUAACCCCAGAUAGCCCAAGAGAGAGACAUUGUGAAGUCUGGUAUCAGAGUGGUACAUCUGGUGAGAAUAUGCUGUUUGAAUUGUAUAUACCAGAGAGAAAACCAAACAUACGUGAUAUUAUGUAAGUCUACCAAAUCGAGAAAAUCCAUUGUCUUUUUAACACCUAAUCUCAGUUGGGCGCGGUGGCUCACGCCUGUAAUCCCAGCACUUUGGGAGGCCGAGGUGGGCGGAUCAUGAGGGCAGGAGAUUGAGACCAUCCUGGCUAACACGGUGAAACCCCGUCUCUACUAAAAAUACAAAAAAUUAGCCGGGCAUGGUGGUGGGCGCCUGUAGUCCCAGCUACUCGGGAGGCUGAGGCAGGAGAAUGGCGUGAACCCGGG